UAAAAACAUUCCCCCUAAACUCUUUCUCUCUCUCCGGCGCUCCCGAUCAAAGCAAUCUCCGUCGUAAUCAUGGAAACUGGUGUCUAAUUCGUCUCUGUUUUGGUGAGUGGGUGAGAUGGCGAGAGGUAGAUCGAUUAGUGGUCCUGGGCUAUGGAAUUUGAAUACGGCGUAUUAAAGGGCCGAGGCGUUUGGCUUUGCUUUUCAUCGUGUUUGCAUCUGUUUCGAUGUUGGUUUAGGAUUGUAUUAAUCUUGCCCGAGAACAUGAGAAAUAGGGAGGGCAAGAAGUGCUUAUAGAAGUCCUGAAUGAUAUUGGUGCUUUAUAAUAUGAAGAAUAAGAAUCUGAGGUUUGUGAAUGUUUUAGAUUCAACAAGGUGCAAGCAGAAGUAUGUUUCUUCAGAUGAUAUAUUGGUGAAUCUGGCUCGUGUGUACUUUGCUCAAGGGAACUUUGCCUCAAUGUAUCAAACUACUUGCGGAAGUAAUUAUACUUAGCCAGUACGCAUUAUGAGGCUGAGCAUUGGCAACAGUGCAAUAGUGCAAAAAGACACUAUUAAGGGUGCUCAAAGUUUCAGAAGCAGAGAAUGCUGUUUGUGUAUGCAGUCAGUUGUCUGCUGCUUCAGACCUCCAUGUUCUUGAGUUUAAUGGUAAAAAUACAAACCAUGUUCAGUACUUCACACACUUGCUUGAAGCAGCAAAAGUUCACCGUGAAGCGGCUGAGUGAGGAGCUGCAGAAUUGACAGAGAGUAGAAGGUGCUCGUCAGCCUGCUUUGGCGGAAGAAGCGCGCCUUAAACCUGAAGACCAUAUGAAAUAUCUUAACUAUGGACUUGCAAGUUAACCUUUCGCAGCAACAAAAUUAUUUUGACGAUGAUGAAUUAUAUGGAAGAUUUUCAAGUCUGUGAUAUACCUUGAUGGGUUCCCUCUCUUGGUCAGUUGGAGAAAAGAAAACAGGAAGACGAGCUGAGACGCCUCAAACUAGAAAAAGAAAGAUGUAGAAAAAGAAAGAUGUCAACGUAUAAAGUUGGGAGGUCUCCUAUUAUUGAUUACAACGUAUAUGCAGGCCAGGUUUCUCAACGAUGUUUAGUCUCAAGAAAAAAAAGUACUGUUUGAUACUUUGAACUUGGAACAAUGGAAGAGCAACAACCCACAUAGAUCUCACAAAUGUAAGAGGUGAAGAUGAUGGUGAGUAAGGUAGGCCCAGUGAGCGGAAAAGAAAGAAAGGCAAGAAGAGAAGAAAGAAGGAUAAAAGUGUUAUCAAAAUUCCUUUCUGGAUAUACAUUGCAUGAGAACCUGUCCGUCCUUCUAUAUCUCUUCUUGUACUGGGUUUGUGAAUCUUUUUUUUUAAUUAAUAUCAAAUUGCUCUCUGUCGUCUGACCUUCUCAAUGUGUAAGAAACAGCUGUUCAUUUUAGAGGUAGUGCUGAGUUAAAUGGAAUUGAAGUGAAAAUUAUUUUCCA
Eutrema salsugineum is the source of this 1450-nucleotide long non-coding RNA. RefSeq lists it as uncharacterized. The transcript has 4 exons. Lineage: Eukaryota; Viridiplantae; Streptophyta; Magnoliopsida; Brassicales; Brassicaceae. The record is from RefSeq and is a predicted model, not a curated record.